UCGCGUGAGGGAUGAAGGUUCUAUGGAUCGUAAACCUCUUUUAUAAGGGAAUAAAGUGUGGGACGUGUCCUAUUUUGUAUGUACCUUAUGAAUAAGGAUCGGCUAACUCCGUGCCAGCAGCCGCGGUAAUACGGAGGAUCCGAGCGUUAUCCGGAUUUAUUGGGUUUAAAGGGUGCGUAGGCGGCCUUUUAAGUCAGCGGUGAAAGUCUGUGGCUCAACCAUAGAAUUGCCGUUGAAACUGGGGGGCUUGAGUAUGUUUGAGGCAGGCGGAAUGCGUGGUGUAGCGGUGAAAUGCUUAGAUAUCACGCAGAACCCCGAUUGCGAAGGCAGCCUGCCAAGCCAUGACUGACGCUGAUGCACGAAAGCGUGGGGAUCAAACAGGAUUAGAUACCCUGGUAGUCCACGCAGUAAACGAUGAUCACUAGCUGUUUGCGAUACAGUGUAA
This 445-nucleotide ribosomal RNA is filed under the name uncultured bacterium. RNAcentral's name for it is "bacterial SSU rRNA". It matches the Rfam family "Bacterial small subunit ribosomal RNA", at positions 397 to 842 of the family's 1533-position model. The record is from RNAcentral.